Felis catus (domestic cat) is the source of this 749-nucleotide long non-coding RNA. RefSeq lists it as uncharacterized. The record is from RefSeq and is a predicted model, not a curated record. The transcript is spliced from 3 exons. Lineage: Eukaryota; Metazoa; Chordata; Mammalia; Carnivora; Felidae.
UAGGUCAUGAGGGUGGCAUCCUCAUGAGUGAGAUUACUGCCUUAUAAAAGAGAGCCCAGAGAACUCACAGCUGUCCUGGAACCAGAAAGUGGGCUCUCAUCAGAUGCUGAAUUUGCUUGCUGGCACCCUAAGCUUGGACUUCUCAGGUUCCAGAACUAAUGCAACUAAAAGUCAAAAAGGUGAAGUGAUUUAAUUUAAAUCAAGCAGGGAUCGGCAUUACUUUUUGUUCAGAGUGCUCUCCGCAUAGUCACACAAAGUAUGGGUAUGGAAAAACUUCAACCAAUAGAGUAAAAAUGACAUAUGAUUUAUGAGGCUGGAUCAUAAAAGGGCAUACAGCUUCCAACUUGUUUGCUGGAACUCUUCUGGAGCCCUGAUACAUCCUGUAAAAAGUCCAACAAUCCAAGAGCCAGCAUACUGUGAGGAAGCCAAGCCACAUGGAGAUGCCACACAUGGACACUCAGUCACAGUCCUGUUCUUCAGAAUGUCCUGUCCAGGCACCAGACAAGUAAAUGAACAAGCCUCCAGAUGAUGCCGGCCCCCACUUAUGAAAUCAUCCUAGCCUUCAAAACCUCUCAAAUGAGGCUCCAGAUAUGGUAGAGCAGGAACAAGCCGCUUCCUCUGUUCUCUGUCUGAAUUCCUGAGCUACAAAAUCCCUAAGAAUAAUGAAAUGGUUCUUUUAAGCUGUAACUAAAGUUUAGAUUCAUGUGCUAUAUAGCUAUUGUAACUGGAACAACUCCAAACUGGGAGGG